This 502-nucleotide ribosomal RNA is filed under the name uncultured bacterium. RNAcentral describes it as "partial 16S ribosomal RNA". It matches the Rfam family "Bacterial small subunit ribosomal RNA", at positions 30 to 523 of the family's 1533-position model. The record is from RNAcentral.
AUUGAACGCUGGCGGCAGGCUUAACACAUGCAAGUCGAGCGGGGUGAUGGUGCUUGCACUAUCACUUAGCGGCGGACGGGUGAGUAAUGCUUAGGAAUCUGCCUAUUAGUGGGGGACAACAUCUCGAAAGGGAUGCUAAUACCGCAUACGUCCUACGGGAGAAAGCAGGGGAUCACUUGUGACCUUGCGCUAAUAGAUGAGCCUAAGUCGGAUUAGCUAGUUGGUGGGGUAAAGGCCUACCAAGGCGACGAUCUGUAGCGGGUCUGAGAGGAUGAUCCGCCACAAGGGGACUGAGACACGGCCCAGACUCCUACGGGAGGCAGCAGGGGGGAAUUUUGGACAAUGGAGGCAACCCGGAUCCAGCCAUGCCGCGUGAGUGAAGAAGGCCUUCGGGUUGUAAAGCUCUUUCGCGAGGGAAGAAAGCGCACUGGUUAAUACCUGGUGUGGAUGACGGUACCCUGAUAAGAAGCACCGGCUAACUACGUGCCAGCAGCCGCGGUAA